RNAcentral lists this long non-coding RNA (784 nucleotides) under Anas zonorhyncha (Eastern spot-billed duck). RNAcentral's name for it is "lncRNA (ENSAZOG00000002409.1)". Lineage: Eukaryota; Metazoa; Chordata; Aves; Anseriformes; Anatidae. The record is from RNAcentral.
ACGGUGAUUAAUGGGCUGAGAACAAAAGAGGCUGUAAGUAUUGUCAAUGCUAAGUGUUUCUUUGCUUUUAUUUACAAUUCUCUGGCUUGAAAGCUAGGCAUGCUGUUGUCUUAAUCAGAUUGGUAAUUAAAGUGAUAUCUAAUGAUGUCUGCUUAACAAAGUCACCUGGAAGUAUUCUGGAUGGGCUGAGAACCAUAAUAGGGCUAGCUUGGGGUGAUUGUGUUGUGGGGAGGGAUUGUGCUGCCCCAGGUGUGGCUGGGGGCAGUAGCUGGUUUGGCCAUAAAUAGAUAGGGGGCUGGGGCCUCUGUUUUGCUGUUUGCAUGGCUACAUCUCAUGAAAGGUGCAGUAUUCUGCUACUGCCACCAGAAAAAGUGGUAGAACAGUUGCAUCUAGUGGAGUCAUUUGUCUUGAAACAAGGAACGUCUACCAUCCACCAAAUGUCCCAUUGACCUUCUACUGGGCUGGUAGAACAGAGUUUGCACUGGAAAUCUGCAGGCUGACUCCAGGGCAGACUGAUCAAAGUGGAAUUAUUCAUCCAUCCACUGGACUCCACGCCCUAGUGACAGCCACAUGCCCAUCCUGCAGGGACAAGAGCAUGAGCUCCAGCACUGGUGAAGCCUGGUUUCCUGUGGAUGAUCCUCGAGGCCAUUCUCCUGGGAUUAUUCUGGGACUGUGUGGACCAGAUACGCACUUCAUGCAGUUUGAUGUCCUUGGCUCAAAUGGAACUUUUCCUGAUGUUUCUAGCAUUUCAUUGAAUCACGAUGAACACGGAAAAAAGUUCUAA